GACGAACGCUGGCGGCGUGCUUAACACAUGCAAGUCGAACGGAAAGGCCCUGCUUUUGUGGGGUGCUCGAGUGGCGAACGGGUGAGUAACACGUGAGUAACCUGCCCUUGACUUUGGGAUAACUUCAGGAAACUGGGGCUAAUACCGGAUAGGAGCUCCUGCUGCAUGGUGGGGGUUGGAAAGUUUCGGCGGUUGGGGAUGGACUCGCGGCUUAUCAGCUUGUUGGUGGGGUAGUGGCCUACCAAGGCUUUGACGGGUAGCUGGCCUGAGAGGGUGACCGGCCACAUUGGGACUGAGAUACGGCCCAGACUCCUACGGGAGGCAGCAGUGGGGAAUAUUGCACAAUGGGCGGAAGCCUGAUGCAGCAACGCCGCGUGCGGGAUGACGGCCUUCGGGUUGUAAACCGCUUUCGCCUGUGACGAAGCGUGAGUGACGGUAAUGGGUAAAGAAGCACCGGCUAACUACGUG
RNAcentral lists this ribosomal RNA (468 nucleotides) under uncultured bacterium. Its description in RNAcentral is "partial 16S ribosomal RNA". It matches the Rfam family "Bacterial small subunit ribosomal RNA", at positions 28 to 507 of the family's 1533-position model. The record is from RNAcentral.